AGAGACGCUGUUCUCAGAUGAAACAUGCAAGUCGAACGGAUAAGCCCCUUCUGCUGUACUCUAGUGGCGAACAGGUGAGAAACACGUGGGCAACCUGCCCCUAGCUCUGGGAUAACACUUGGAAACAGGUGCUAAUACCGGAUGACAACCUUUCACGGAAUCGCGGUUGGCUCAAAGUUUUUCGGCUAGGGAUGGGCCCGCGGCCUAUCAGCUUGUUGGUGGGGUAACGGCCUACCAAGGCGACGACCGGUAGCCGGCCUGAGAGGACGACCGGCCACACUGGAACUGAGACACGGCCCAGACUCCUACGGGAGGCAGCAGUGGGGAAUAUUGCACAAUGGGCGAAAGCCUGACGCAGCAACGCCGCGUGAGGGAUGAAGGCCUUCGGAUUGUAAACCUCUUUCAGCUGGAACGAAUGCAAACGGUACCUGCCCAAGAUGCACCGGCUAACUACAUGCCAUCAGCCGCGGUUAUACUUAGGGCGCAAGCGUUGUCCGGAUUUAUGGGGCGUAAAGAGCUCGUAAGCAGUCUGUCUCGUCCAAUGUGAAAACCCUGGGCUCAACUCCAGGGCUGCAUUCGAUACU
This 584-nucleotide ribosomal RNA is filed under the name Actinomycetales bacterium E108. RNAcentral describes it as "bacterial SSU rRNA". It matches the Rfam family "Bacterial small subunit ribosomal RNA", at positions 29 to 634 of the family's 1533-position model. The record is from RNAcentral. Lineage: Bacteria; Bacillati; Actinomycetota; Actinomycetes; Actinomycetales.